CCCUUAGAUGUUCUGGGCCGCACGCGCGCUACACUGAAGGAGGCAGCGUGUACUCCUGGAUCGAAAGAUUUGGGUAACCCGCGAAUCUCCUUCGUGCUAGGGAUUGAGGUUUGCAAUUAUCCUUCAUGAACGAGGAAUUCCCAGUAAGUGCAAGUCAUAAGCUUGCGCUGACUACGUCCCUGCCCUUUGUACACACCGCCCGUCGCUACUACCGAUUGAAUGAUUUAGUGAGGACUUCGGACUGGGACCGAUGCGGCUUUCGGGCUGCGUCGGUAUUCUGGAAAGAUGUCCAAACUGUAUCAUUUAGAGGAAGUAAAAGUCGUAACA
This 327-nucleotide ribosomal RNA is filed under the name uncultured eukaryote. RNAcentral describes it as "partial 18S ribosomal RNA". It matches the Rfam family "Eukaryotic small subunit ribosomal RNA", at positions 1470 to 1796 of the family's 1831-position model. The record is from RNAcentral.